CCUACGGGGGGCUGCAGUGGGGAAUAUUGCACAAUGGGGGGAACCCUGAUGCAGCGACGCCGCGUGGGUGAAGGAGUAUUUCGGUAUGUAAAGCCCUAUCAGCAGGGAAGAACAAUGACGGUACCUGACUACGAAGCACCGGCUAAAUACGUGCCAGCAGCCGCGGUAAUACGUAUGGUGCAAGCGUUAUCCGGAUUUACUGGGUGUAAAGGGAGCGCAGGCGGCGCGUUAAGCCUGGUGUGAAAGUCCGCGGCCCAACCGCGGGACUGCAUUGGGAACUGGCGCGCUGGAGUGCCGGAGGGGCAGGCGGAAUUCCUGGUGUAGCGGUGAAAUGCGUAGAUAUCAGGAGGAACACCGGUGGCGAAGGCGGCCUGCUGGACUGCAACUGACGUUGAGGCCCGAAAGCGUGGGGAGCAAACAGGAUUAGAUACCCGGGUAGUC
This 441-nucleotide ribosomal RNA is filed under the name uncultured bacterium. Its description in RNAcentral is "partial 16S ribosomal RNA". It matches the Rfam family "Bacterial small subunit ribosomal RNA", at positions 338 to 795 of the family's 1533-position model. The record is from RNAcentral.